UACGUAGGGCGCAAGCGUUGUCCGGAAUUAUUGGGCGUAAAGAGCUCGUAGGCGGUUUGUCGCGUCUGCUGUGAAAACCUAAGGCUCAACCUUGGGCUUGCAGUGGGUACGGGCAGACUAGAGUGUGGUAGGGGUGACUGGAAUUCCUGGUGUAGCGGUGGAAUGCGCAGAUAUCAGGAGGAACACCGAUGGCGAAGGCAGGUCACUGGGCCGCAACUGACGCUGGAGGAGCGAAAGCGUGGGGAGCAAACAGG
This 254-nucleotide ribosomal RNA is filed under the name uncultured bacterium. Its description in RNAcentral is "partial 16S ribosomal RNA". It matches the Rfam family "Bacterial small subunit ribosomal RNA", at positions 524 to 776 of the family's 1533-position model. The record is from RNAcentral.